Molecule: ribosomal RNA, 502 nt
Filed under: uncultured Glomeromycotina
Lineage: Eukaryota; Fungi; Glomeromycota
Description: partial small subunit ribosomal RNA
Rfam family: Eukaryotic small subunit ribosomal RNA
Source: RNAcentral
CCAAUAGCGUAUAUUAAAGUUGUUGCAGUUAAAAAGCUCGUAGUUGAACUUCGGGGUUUACCCAUUGGUCAGGUUUAAUUAUCUGUACUGGUGAGAUAAAUCUCUACCUUCUGAGGAACUUCCAUGCCAUUUAUUUGGUGUGGGAGGAAAUCAGGACUGUUACUUUGAAAAAAUUAGAGUGUUUAAAGCAGGCUAACGUCUGAAUACAUUAGCAUGGAAUAAUGAAAUAGGACGGACUGAUUCUAUUUCGUUGGUUUCUAGGAUCACCGUAAUGAUUAAUAGGGAUAGUUGGGGGCAUUAGUAUUCAAUUGUCAGAGGUGAAAUUCUUGGAUUUAUUGAAGACUAACUACUGCGAAAGCAUUUGCCAAGGAUGUUUUCAUUAAUCAAGAACGAAAGUUAGGGGAUCGAAGACGAUCAGAUACCGUCGUAGUCUUAACCAUAAACUAUGCCGACUAGGGAUCGGACGAAGUUAAUUUUAUAAUGACGCGUUCGGCACCUUACG